GUGGGACGCUUAGGCUUGACCCCAACCUGUAUAUUAACAAAAAGAAAAAGAAGCAGCAGAGUGCGGGAUGAGGUCUUAUAAUCUCAUCCCAUCCCACGAUACAAAAUAUGAGGCUUUCAUUUUCUAUAGCUAGCAUGCUUUCUUUCUUUCUAUACAUUAGAAGAGCUCCCGGUUUCGACGUGCGAGCUUAUUGGCAUUAAAUUUGUAUCUAAGGGUAUUUUGGACUUUAUUCAAUACCUAACGCAACGUGUCCUCCAAACCAAAGUUGAACAGCCACCGCAUCAGUUGUAUACUUGUAUUCCUCUUCGAUGCUUCUCGAUGGAUUGUUCCCCUGAAUAUGCGCUAUUCUUGCUGAGAUGUUCUGCCCUCCAACACUUAAUAGGGACUAUGAUGACGAGGAAGAGUGGUUUCAGUCAAUUUUCAAGUGAAGAAGAUGACAUUACAAUCAAUAUCAUUUCUUUGUACAGAGAAUUGGAGGGCCUACUCACAUAGGAAAGGAUGCCCAUACUUCCGAAGCAUGUUAUAUUCAUCGGUUACUUGCUCCACGCUAUCGAUUUCUCCAGCAAAUUCGUGAUAAAGCCGGAUUGGGAGUUCGCUCUCGCUAUGGCUCUUCUGUUGCUCUUGAUGAAACAGAACCGAUAAGAGGGAGAAGAAGACAUAAGAGAAGUAGCAGCUGCAACAAAAAAAGAAGUUAAAAGCUUAUAUUGUAGAUAGCUGAUCAUUUCCGGGUGUUUCUUCCCCGGAAAAAAUACCAGCUAUAUGGGAUAUGCUUGUGCACUCACGACUUUUUUUUACUGGCACGAGUGUUUUGGUGCAUGCCAAAUUUGAGUUUAUAGCUUUUUUGAAAGCUACAUCGAAGCACAAAUGAGGGAUGCAUGACGGACAAUGUUUUGAAAGGUACCAAUUUUUUUGUCAAUGGCAGGCGAGAAAGGAGCCUAACCACAUGUGGUGGCUGCAUAUAUAUAUAUAUAUGUGUGUGUGUGUUGUGUGAGAGAGAGAGAGAAAGAAAGAUUACUCAUAUGAAUGAAAAGGUCUACAACAAAAGAAGUUUAUCAAAAAUACAAAGUUUCAAUUUCUACAUUAUUGGGCCCGUGCUAGCACGGGGUAUUACUGCCUAGUUGUACAUACAAGAGAAUGUAACACACGAUAUAGGUUAGGAUUAAGAACCAUCUACAGAAGCUAUACAACAAAAUGGUUCUUUCUAGACUUGAUUCUAAAAUUAAUCAGUUGGUCCCUAUCUGUCUUCAAGGUAGCUCUCACCUUCCCGGGUAGGAUGUUAGCCUCCAUCAAGAAAGUAGAUGAUCUUCUUUGUAAGCUUCAAUUAGCAAGAUAAUCAGCUGUGCAAUUGGCUUCUCUAAAGCAAUGAAAAAAAUAGAAUUUGCCUUCCUGUGCAAACUCCAAAAUUUGCUCCAGAUGUGAGAAAUUUGCCAUGAGAAAGGAAGAAAGGUUGUUGAUAGCAUUGAUUAAAAUCUGUGAAUCAGAUUCAACAAAAAUCUCCUUGUAACCCUUGUCUAGACACCAUUUAAUUCCCAUGAGAAUGGAUUUCGCUUCACCCAUAUUACUUGUGCAAACACCAAAAAAGCUAGAGAAAGCUAUCACCAAAUCUCCUCUUUGAUCUCUCAAAAUACCACCUCCUCCUGCCAGGCCUGGAUUUCCUUUACUGCAUCCAUCUGUGUUGAGUUUGAGAUAUCCAUCAUGUGGUUUUUGCCAUUUGACAGGGAUAACAUUGAGAGCUGGUUUAAUCUUUUCCAGAAUAAAGCAUAGAUGCUUCUGAAAGAGUAGCAAAAUUGCUGGUGAUAAGAGUAAUCAUAUAGGAUUGAAUCUGGUAGAUUAGGCUUUGAAUGGAGCUACUCCUUCACCAUAUCUACCUGCACACCUCCUUUUCCAGAUCUCCCAACAGAUAAUGCUCGGUAAGCAUUGCAAGAUAAAUUCUAGAAUUUUAUUGUUACUUUUAGUGAGACACCACUUAAUAAGAGUUUGCCUUAAAUCACCAACGAAGGAAACUCCAAACGAAUUUCCAAAUACAUUCCAGGCAGCUAGAGCACCAUCACUUCUCAUAAAGAUAUGAUUAAUGGUUUCAGCUUUGGGAUUCUGCAACAUGAGCAACUAAAAGGUCCAAUAAAACCAAAUUUGCUGGUGAUAUCAUCGGUAGGUAAUGUUCUAUUUAAAAGUCUUUAUGAAGAAUGAGACUUUAAAGGGAAGCUUCUAGUGCCAAAUUUUGCCAGCUGUAAAAGUGUGGUUCCUGGUCUGUUUAGCUUCGACCUGCAAGAAAAAGGUCCAGUAUUAGUGAUGGUCCAAAUAGGUUGGUCUUUUUUAGUUUGUGUAGGGGGAGGUAAAGAUAUAAUAUUUCUAAUGAUAUCUUCAGGGAGAACUUCUCUUAGUUCAAUCAUAUUCCCGGAUUCCUCCUAGAUAAAGGAUGAUACAUUCUCAUUUCCUUUGCUAUGGUCAUUAAUCAAAUUGGCCAAUGGGCCUUGAUCCAACCAUUUAUCCCACCAAAAUGAAGCAUCCCCAUUCUCAAUCUCCACGUGAUAUGUUUCUGUGUAUCCUCUUUUAUGUCUAUCAACCUCCUCCAGAUUUGUGAGUGACAAGAUUUCCAUGUAGCUACAACAGGGUGGAGCUUGUUACAAUACUUGGCUUCCAUAAAUUCUCUCCAUAGUGAGUCUCUAGUCCUUAAACUCCACCAAGAUUUUGAAGCAAGAGAUUUGUUGAUGUCAUGAAUUAAUCUAAAAGCUACACCACCCUCAUUCUUGUCCCACCAUAAUGAAGCCCAUGAGAACCAAUGGUGUUUGUUAUCUCCCUCAAAGUUACCCCAGAAGAAGUUAGAGCAUUGUUUCUCAAUUAUCUCCAAAGUUGUCUUAGGUGGAUUGGUAGCAGCAAGGAUAUGCAUAGGAAUAGAGUAAAGUACUGCUUUAACUAGAACUGCUUUGCCUCCAAAGGACAUGAGUUUGCCAUUCCAUCCUUCAACUCUUUUCCCAACUUUGGCUGUAAGAUCAUUAAAGUAUUCUACUUUUUUUCUCCCUAUGUAAAUAGGAGCACCCAAAUAGGUAAAAGGAAAUUGUUUCUUGGAGAAACCAGUCAGUUGAUUGAUGGAGUCAAUUUGUAUUUACCCAACAUUUGGAUUCAUGUAGAAAUAGGACUUGUUAUAGUUGAUAACUUGCCUAGAGAUGUUGCUAUAAUCUUGAAGACGCUGGUUGAUAA
Nicotiana attenuata is the source of this 3198-nucleotide long non-coding RNA. RefSeq lists it as uncharacterized. Lineage: Eukaryota; Viridiplantae; Streptophyta; Magnoliopsida; Solanales; Solanaceae. The transcript has 5 exons. The record is from RefSeq and is a predicted model, not a curated record.